This 480-nucleotide ribosomal RNA is filed under the name uncultured bacterium. RNAcentral describes it as "partial 16S ribosomal RNA". It matches the Rfam family "Bacterial small subunit ribosomal RNA", at positions 28 to 507 of the family's 1533-position model. The record is from RNAcentral.
GAUGAACGCUAGCGGCAGGCCUAACACAUGCAAGUCGAGGGGGAAGUUACUUUCGGGUGACUGAGACCGGCGUACGGGUGCGUAACGCGUAUACAAUCUGCCUUUCACUGGGGGAUAGCCCGAAGAAAUUUGGAUUAAUACCCCAUAGUAUAUAGGGACGGCAUCGUUUUUAUAUUAAAGCUUAGGUGGUGAAAGAUGAGUAUGCGUUCUAUUAGCUAGUUGGAGAGGUAACGGCUCCCCAAGGCGAUGAUAGAUAGGGGUUCUGAGAGGGAUGUCCCCCACACUGGUACUGAGAUACGGACCAGACUCCUACGGGAGGCAGCAGUGAGGAAUAUUGGACAAUGGUCGGAAGACUGAUCCAGCCAUGCCGCGUGCAGGAUGAAGGUCCUAUGGAUUGUAAACUGCUUUUGUAAGGGAAGAAUAAGGGCUACGCGUAGUUUGAUGACGGUACCUUACGAAUAAGCAUCGGCUAACUCCGUG